AGAGUUUGAUCCUGGCUCAGGAUGAACGCUAGCUACAGGCUUAACACAUGCAAGUCGAGGGGCAGCAUUUCAGUUUGCUUGCAAACUGGAGAUGGCGACCGGCGCACGGGUGAGUAACACGUAUCCAGCCUGCCGAUAACUCGGGGAUAGCCUUUCGAAAGAAAGAUUAAUACCCGAUGGCAUAAUUAGACCGCAUGGUCUUAUUAUUAAAGAAUUUCGGUUAUCGAUGGGGAUGCGUUCCAUUAGGCAGUUGGUGAGGUAACGGCUCACCAAACCUUCGAUGGAUAGGGGUUCUGAGAGGAACGGUCCCCCANAUUGGAACUGAGACACGGUCAAACUCCUACGGGAGCA
This 351-nucleotide ribosomal RNA is filed under the name uncultured bacterium. Its description in RNAcentral is "bacterial SSU rRNA". It matches the Rfam family "Bacterial small subunit ribosomal RNA", at positions 8 to 349 of the family's 1533-position model. The record is from RNAcentral.